GACGAACGCUGGCGGCGGGCUUAACACAUGCAAGUCGAACGGAAAGGCCCUGCUUUUGUGGGGUGCUCGAGUGGCGAACGGGUGAGUAACACGUGAGUAACCUGCCCUGGACUUUGGGAUAACUUCAGGAAACUGGGGCUAAUACCGGAUAGGAGCUCCUGCUGCAUGGUGGGGGUUGGAAAGUUUCGGCGGUUGGGGAUGGACUCGCGGCUUAUCAGCUUGUUGGUGGGGUAGUGGCUUACCAAGGCUUUGACGGGUAGCCGGCCUGAGAGGGUGACCGGCCACAUUGGGACUGAGAUACGGACCAGACUCCUACGGGAGGCAGCAGUGGGGAAUAUUGCACAAUGGGCGGAAGCCUGAUGCAGAAACGCCGCGUGCGGGAUGACGGCCUUCGGGUUGUAAACCGCUUUCGCCUGUGACGAAGCGUGAGUGACGGUAAUGGGUAAAGAAGCACCGGCUAACUACGUG
RNAcentral lists this ribosomal RNA (468 nucleotides) under uncultured bacterium. RNAcentral's name for it is "partial 16S ribosomal RNA". It matches the Rfam family "Bacterial small subunit ribosomal RNA", at positions 28 to 507 of the family's 1533-position model. The record is from RNAcentral.